CGGGUGAGUAACGCGUGAGGAACCUGCCUCAAAGAGGGGGACAACAGUUGGAAACGACUGCUAAUACCGCAUAAGCCCACGGCUCGGCAUCGAGCAGAGGGAAAAGGAGCAAUCCGCUUUGAGAUGGCCUCGCGUCUGAUUAGCUAGUUGGUGAGGUAACGGCCCACCAAGGCGACGAUCGGUAGCCGGACUGAGAGGUUGAACGGCCACAUUGGGACUGAGACACGGCCCAG
Molecule: ribosomal RNA, 233 nt
Filed under: uncultured bacterium
Lineage: Bacteria
Description: partial 16S ribosomal RNA
Rfam family: Bacterial small subunit ribosomal RNA
Source: RNAcentral